AAUAGAUACCCAGGUAGUCCACGCCGUAAACGAUGAAUACUCGGCAUCUGAAGGGCGAUUUUCGUCCCUCGGGUGCCCUAGCUAACGCGAUAAGUAUUCCGCCUGGGAACUACGAGCGCAAGCUUAAAACUCAAAGGAAUUGACGGGGGGCCCGCACAAGCAGCGGAGCGUGUGGUUUAAUUCGACGCAACGCGCAGAACCUUACCCAGGUUUGACAUGGCACUGCAAGCCGGUGAAAGCCGGUCGCCUUCGAGGGUGUGCCACAGAUGCUGCAUGGCUGUUGUCAGCUCGUGUCGUGAGAUGUUGGGUUAAGUCCCGCAACGAGCGCAACCCCUACGGUCAGUUGCCAUCGGUUUGGCCGGGGCACUCUGAAGAAACUGCCGGUGACAAGCCGGAGGAAGGCGGGGAUGACGUCAAGUCCUCAUGGCCCUUAUGGGCUGGGCUACACACGUGCUACAAUGGCGGUGACGAGGAGGGGGAGGCGAAGGGGUGGCGGAGCCCGAGCCAAUCUACAAAAAACCGUCUCAGUUCGGAUUGCU
This 539-nucleotide ribosomal RNA is filed under the name uncultured bacterium. Its description in RNAcentral is "bacterial SSU rRNA". It matches the Rfam family "Bacterial small subunit ribosomal RNA", at positions 777 to 1302 of the family's 1533-position model. The record is from RNAcentral.